This 492-nucleotide ribosomal RNA is filed under the name uncultured bacterium. RNAcentral's name for it is "partial 16S ribosomal RNA". It matches the Rfam family "Bacterial small subunit ribosomal RNA", at positions 29 to 507 of the family's 1533-position model. The record is from RNAcentral.
AGUGAACGCUGGCGGUAGGCCUAACACAUGCAAGUCGAACGGCAGCACAGUAAGUGCUUGCUCUUACGGGUGGCGAGUGGCGGACGGGUGCGGAAUACCUCGGUAUCUACUUUUUCGUGGGGGAUAACAUGGGGACACUUACGCUAUUACCGCAUACGACCUACGGGUGAAAGCAUCGGAUCUUACGCCCUUGCGCGAUUCAAUGUGCCGAUGUCGGAUUAGCUAGUUGGCGGGGUAAAGGCCCACCAAGGCGACGAUCCGUAGCUGGUCUGAGAGGAUGAUCAGCCACACUGGAACUGAGACACGGUCCAGACUCCUACGGGAGGCAGCAGUGGGGAAUAUUGGACAAUGGGCGCAAGCCUGAUCCAGCCAUACCGCGUGGGUGAAGAAGGCCUUCGGGUUGUAAAGCCCUUUUGGUGGGAAAGAAAAGCAGCAGGUUAAUACCUCGCUGUUCUGACGGUACCCAAAGAAUAAGCACCGGCUAACUUCGUG